This 834-nucleotide ribosomal RNA is filed under the name uncultured bacterium. RNAcentral describes it as "bacterial SSU rRNA". It matches the Rfam family "Bacterial small subunit ribosomal RNA", at positions 8 to 836 of the family's 1533-position model. The record is from RNAcentral.
AGAGUUUGAUCCUGGCUCAGAUUGAACGCUAGCGGCAUGCUUAACACAUGCAAGUCGAACGGUAACAGGCGGAGCUUGCUCUGCGCUGACGAGUGGCGGACGGGUGAGUAAUGCUUAGGAAUCUGCCCAGUAGCGGGGGACAACUCGGAGAAAUCCGAGCUAAUACCGCAUACGCCCUACGGGGGAAAGCAGGGGAUCUUCGGACCUUGCACUAUUGGAUGAGCCUAAGUCAGAUUAGCUUGUUGGUGGGGUAAUGGCCUACCAAGGCGACGAUCUGUAGCUGGUCUGAGAGGACGAUCAGCCACGCUGGAACUGAGACACGGUCCAGACUCCUACGGGAGGCAGCAGUGGGGAAUAUUGCACAAUGGGCGCAAGCCUGAUGCAGCAAUGCCGCGUGUGUGAAGAAGGCCUGCGGGUUGUAAAGCACUUUCAGUAAGGAGGAAAAGUAUGUAGUUAAUAACUGCAUACCCUGACGUUACUUACAGAAGAAGCACCGGCUAACUCCGUGCCAGCAGCCGCGGUAAUACGGAGGGUGCGAGCGUUAAUCGGAAUUACUGGGCGUAAAGCGUGCGUAGGCGGCAUGGUCAGUCGGAUGUGAAAGCCCCGGGCUUAACCUGGGAAUUGCAUUCGAUACUGCCAAGCUAGAGUAUGUUAGAGGAAAGUGGAAUUCCCGGUGUAGCGGUGAAAUGCGUAGAUAUCGGGAGGAACAUCAGUGGCGAAAGCGACUUUCUGGAUCAUACUGACGCUGAGUACGAAGCGUGGGGGAGCAACAGGAUUAGAUACCCUGGUAGUCCACGCCCUAAACGAUGUCAACUAGCCGUUUGGAGGAAAUUU